RNAcentral lists this ribosomal RNA (469 nucleotides) under uncultured bacterium. RNAcentral describes it as "partial 16S ribosomal RNA". It matches the Rfam family "Bacterial small subunit ribosomal RNA", at positions 28 to 507 of the family's 1533-position model. The record is from RNAcentral.
GACGAACGCUGGCGGCGUGCUUAACACAUGCAAGUCGAACGGAAAGGCCCUGCUUUUGUGGGGUGCUCGAGUGGCGAACGGGUGAGUAACACGUGAGUAACCUGCCCUUGACUUUGGGAUAAAUUCAGGAAACUGGGGCUACUACCGGAUAGGAGCUCCUGCUGCAUGGGGGGGGUUGGAAAGUUUCGGCGGUUGGGGAUGGACUCGCGGCUUAUCAGCUUGUUGGGGGGGUAGUGGCUUACCAAGGCUUUGACGGGUAGCCGGCCUGAGAGGGCGACCGGCCACAUUGGGACUGAGAUACGGCCCAGACUCCUACGGGACGCAGCAGUGGGGAAUGUUGCCCCAUGGGCGGAAGCCUGAUGCAGCCACGCCGCGUGCGGGAUGACGGCCUUCGGGUUGUAAACCGCUUUCAGCAGGGGCGAAGCUUGUGGUGACGGUACCUGCAGAAGAAGCACCGGCUAACUACGUG